RNAcentral lists this long non-coding RNA (237 nucleotides) under Lathyrus oleraceus (garden pea). Its description in RNAcentral is "Pisum sativum (pea) long non-coding RNA (PSAT_LNC007403)". Lineage: Eukaryota; Viridiplantae; Streptophyta; Magnoliopsida; Fabales; Fabaceae. The record is from RNAcentral.
GGCUUUCUACAUUAAAAGGUUUAGGGGUAGUGGCAGUUGUUUCAGAAGUGGUACAAGUAUUUAGGGUUGGUGGUGAAAUGGUUGUGAUUGUGGUUGAUUCAGCAAAUGUUAGAUUAGGUAUGAGAAGUGUGACAUAAAUGGAUGGUCUAGAUAUUGUGAUUAUUUCAGAAACACUAGAGGAUCUGGAAGGAGGGUGGUUAUAGUUUAAAAAGGGAUGUAUGGUGGUGGAGAAGUUUG